UCACCAGACUCCUACGGGAGGCAGCAGUGGGGAAUAUUGCACAAUGGGGGAAACCCUGAUGCAACGACGCCGCGUGAGUGAAGAAGUCUUUCGGUAUGUAAAGCUCUAUUAGCAGGGAAGAAAAUGACGGUACCUGACUAAGAAGCCCCGACUAACUACGUGCCAGCAGCCGCGGUAAUACGUAGGUGACAAGCGUUGUCCGGAUUUACUGGGUGUAAAGGGCGUGCAGCCGGGCUGACAAGUCAGAUGUGAAAUCCCGCGGCUCAACCGCGGAACUGCAUUUGAAACUGUCAGUCUUGAGUACCGGAGAGGUCAUCGGAAUUCCUUGUGUAGCGGUGAAAUGCGUAGAUAUAAGGAAGAACACCAGUGGCGAAGGCGGAUGACUGGACGGCAACUGACGGUGAGGCGCGAAAGCGUGGGGAGCAAACAGGAUUAGAUACCCCCGUAC
This 448-nucleotide ribosomal RNA is filed under the name uncultured bacterium. RNAcentral's name for it is "bacterial SSU rRNA". It matches the Rfam family "Bacterial small subunit ribosomal RNA", at positions 328 to 793 of the family's 1533-position model. The record is from RNAcentral.